CCCAGACUUCCUGGCCAGUCCCCUCAACUGCAUACCUGGGAUCCUCCUUUUACAGGAAGCUCUGGAAUAUUGAGAGUGAUUCCUGCACAGCAUGGAGGAGAGUCCUCCCUCAAGAAUCUCCUUUCACGCCUAGCAGGGGGAGAUGCUUAGGAAAUAACAGGGGCCCUUCCCAGAAAAGCUCUGCAUUGGGGUGAACUCUUACCUACCCAGCAGGGGGACCCCAUACUAAACACGUUCUCAUCUACAAUUUAAGGUAGUUAGAGCACCAGAGCUCAAAGUUCUCCCUACAUGCAUCAGCACAGGUGGCCCUUGGAAUAACCCUUUGAAACAUCUGAGAAACAUUCAGCAGAACAGAAGAGAUGCGGUGGGGUUCUUCAGCUGCACAGCAGGGGGUCCUCUUCCAAAGACAGCUCCAGGAUAUUAUGGAUUCCCAAAUAUUUUAUGCUGUCGACAGUUAUU
Molecule: long non-coding RNA, 459 nt
Organism: Sarcophilus harrisii (Tasmanian devil)
Lineage: Eukaryota; Metazoa; Chordata; Mammalia; Dasyuromorphia; Dasyuridae
Exons: 3
Source: RefSeq, a predicted model, not a curated record